RNAcentral lists this ribosomal RNA (865 nucleotides) under uncultured bacterium. RNAcentral's name for it is "bacterial SSU rRNA". It matches the Rfam family "Bacterial small subunit ribosomal RNA", at positions 58 to 916 of the family's 1533-position model. The record is from RNAcentral.
CAAGUCGAACGGCAGCACGGGAGCAAUCCUGGUGGCGAGUGGCGAACGGGUGAGUAAUAUAUCGGAACGUGCCCAGUCGUGGGGGAUAACGCAGCGAAAGCUGUGCUAAUACCGCAUACGAUCUCUGGAUGAAAGCGGGGGACUCGUAAGGGCCUCGCGCGAUUGGAGCGGCCGAUAUCAGAUUAGCUAGUUGGUGGGGUAAAAGCCCACCAAGGCGACGAUCUGUAGCUGGUCUGAGAGGACGACCAGCCACACUGGAACUGAGACACGGUCCAGACUCCUACGGGAGGCAGCAGUGGGGAAUUUUGGACAAUGGGCGAAAGCCUGAUCCAGCAAUGCCGCGUGCAGGAUGAAGGCCUUCGGGUUGUAAACUGCUUUUGUACGGAACGAAACGACUCUCUCUAAUAAAGGGGGUUAAUGACGGUACCGUAAGAAUAAGCACCGGCUAACUACGUGCCAGCAGCCGCGGUAAUACGUAGGGUGCGAGCGUUAAUCGGAAUUACUGGGCGUAAAGCGUGCGCAGGCGGUUAUAUAAGACAGAUGUGAAAUCCCCGGGCUCAACCUGGGACCUGCAUUUGUGACUGUAUAGCUAGAGUACGGUAGAGGGGGAUGGAAUUCCGCGUGUAGCAGUGAAAUGCGUAGAUAUGCGGAGGAACACCGAUGGCGAAGGCAAUCCCCUGGACCUGUACUGACGCUCAUGCACGAAAGCGUGGGGAGCAAACAGGAUUAGAUACCCUGGUAGUCCACGCCCUAAACGAUGUCAACUGGUUGUUGGGUCUUCACUGACUCAGUAACGAAGCUAACGCGUGAAGUUGACCGCCUGGGGAGUACGGGCCGCAAGGUUGAAACUCAAAGGAAUUGACGG